This 404-nucleotide ribosomal RNA is filed under the name Verrucomicrobiota bacterium. RNAcentral describes it as "Verrucomicrobia bacterium partial 16S ribosomal RNA". It matches the Rfam family "Bacterial small subunit ribosomal RNA", at positions 355 to 776 of the family's 1533-position model. Lineage: Bacteria; Pseudomonadati; Verrucomicrobiota. The record is from RNAcentral.
UGGGGAAUAUUGCACAAUGGAGGGAACUCUGAUGCAGCGACGCCGCGUGAACGAAGAAGGCUUUCGAGUCGUAAAGUUCUUUUAUAUGGGAAGAUAAUGACGGUACCUCAAGAAAAAGCCCCGGCUAACUACGUGCCAGCAGCCGCGGUAAUACGUAGGGGGCUAGCGUUGUCCGGAAUCACUGGGCGUAAAGGGUUCGCAGGCGGAAUAACAAGUCAGAUGUGAAAGGCAUGGGCUCAACCCAUGUAAGCAUUUGAAACUGUAAUUCUUGAGAAGUGGAGAGGUAAGUGGAAUUCCUAGUGUAGCGGUGAAAUGCGUAGAUAUUAGGAGGAAUACCUGUGGCGAAGGCGACUUACUGGACAAAAAUCGGACGCUGAGGAACGAAAGCGUGGGUAGCAAACAGG